GCCCCUGUAGCUCAGGUGGAUAGAGCACCAGCCUCCGGAGCUGGGGGCGAGCGUUCGAGUCGCUCCAGGGGCGC
RNAcentral lists this transfer RNA (74 nucleotides) under subsurface metagenome. RNAcentral's name for it is "tRNA-Arg". It matches the Rfam family "tRNA". Rfam says of the family: Transfer RNA (tRNA) molecules are approximately 80 nucleotides in length. Their secondary structure includes four short double-helical elements and three loops (D, anti-codon, and T loops). The record is from RNAcentral.